Molecule: ribosomal RNA, 435 nt
Filed under: uncultured bacterium
Lineage: Bacteria
Description: partial 16S ribosomal RNA
Rfam family: Bacterial small subunit ribosomal RNA
Source: RNAcentral
AACGAACGCUGGCGGCAUGCCUAACACAUGCAAGUCGAACGAUUGCCUUCGGGUGAUAGUGGCGCACGGGUGCGUAACGCGUGGGAAUCUGCCCUUAGGUUCGGAAUAACAGCUGGAAACGGCUGCUAAUACCGGAUGAUAUCGCGAGAUCAAAGAUUUAUCGCCUGAGGAUGAGCCCGCGUUGGAUUAGGUAGUUGGUGGGGUAAAGGCCUACCAAGCCGACGAUCCAUAGCUGGUCUGAGAGGAUGAUCAACCACACUGGGACUGAGACACGGCCCAGACUCCUACGGGAGGCAGCAGUGGGGAAUAUUGGACAAUGGGCGCAAGCCUGAUCCAGCAAUGCCGCGUGAGUGAUGAAGGCCCUAGGGUUGUAAAGCUCUUUUACCCGGGAAGAUAAUGACUGUACCGGGAGAAUAAGCCCCGGCUAACUCCGUG